RNAcentral lists this ribosomal RNA (444 nucleotides) under uncultured Glomus. Its description in RNAcentral is "SSU rRNA". It matches the Rfam family "Eukaryotic small subunit ribosomal RNA", at positions 569 to 1020 of the family's 1831-position model. Lineage: Eukaryota; Fungi; Glomeromycota; Glomeromycetes; Glomerales; Glomeraceae. The record is from RNAcentral.
AGCAGCCGCGGUAAUUCCAGCUCCAAUAGCGUAUAUUAAAGUUGUUGCAGUUAAAAAGCUCGUAGUUGAAUUUCGAGAUCGGCUUACUGGUCGUGCUAUUGUACGUACUGGUAUAAUCGGUUUCUCCUUUCUGACGAACUAUAAUGCCAUUAAUUUGGUGUUUUAGGGAAUCAGGACUGUUACUUUGAAAAAAUUAGAGUGUUUAAAGCAGGCUCACGCUUGAAUACAUUAGCAUGGAAUAACGGAAUAGGACGUUUGAUUCUAUUUUGUGGUUUCUAGGAUCGACGUAAUGAUUAAUAGGGAUAGUUGGGGGCACUAGUAUUCAAUUGUCAGAGGUGAAAUUCUUGGAUUUAUUGAAGACUAACUACUGCGAAAGCAUUUGCCAAGGAUGUUUUCAUUAAUCAAGACGAAAGUUAGGGGAUCGAAGACGAUCAGAUACCGUCG